UGGGGAAUCUUGCGCAAUGGGCGAAAGCCUGACGCAGCGACGCCGCGUGGGGGAUGAAGCUUCUCGGAGUGUAAACCCCUUUCGACCGGGACGAAUACCUCGCAAGAGGGGUGACGGUACCGGUAUAAGAAGCCCCGGCUAACUACGUGCCAGCAGCCGCGGUAAGACGUAGGGGGCCAGCGUUGUUCGGAAUUACUGGGUGUAAAGGGUUCGUAGGCGGUGUGGCAAGUCGGGAGUGAAAUCUCUGGGCUCAACUCAGGGGCUGCUUCCGAAACUGCUGUGCUGGAGUGUGGGAGAGGCGCGUGGAAUUGCAGGUGUAGCGGUGAAAUGCGUAGAUAUCUGCAGGAACACCCGUGGCGAAAGCGGCGCGCUGGACCACUACUGACGCUGAGGAACGAAAGCUAGGGGAGCAAACAGGAUUAGAUACCCUGGUAGUCCUAGCCCUAAACGAUCAGGACUUGGGGUGCCACCCGUUCGGGUGUCGUCCCGGAGCUAACGCGUUAAGUCCUGCACCUGGGGAGUACGGUCGCAAGACUG
RNAcentral lists this ribosomal RNA (537 nucleotides) under uncultured soil bacterium. Its description in RNAcentral is "bacterial SSU rRNA". It matches the Rfam family "Bacterial small subunit ribosomal RNA", at positions 355 to 896 of the family's 1533-position model. The record is from RNAcentral.